AAUAGAUACCCGGGUAGUCCACGCCGUAAACGUUGGGCGCUAGAUGUGGGGACCUUUCCACGGUUUCCGUGUCGUAGCUAACGCAUUAAGCGCCCCGCCUGGGGAGUACGGCCGCAAGGCUAAAACUCAAAGGAAUUGACGGGGGCCCGCACAAGCGGCGGAGCAUGCGGAUUAAUUCGAUGCAACGCGAAGAACCUUACCAAGGCUUGACAGUACACGAGAACGGGCCAGAAAUGGUCAACUCUUUGGGACACUCGUGAACAGGUGGUGCAUGGUUGUCGUCAGCUCGUGUCGUGAGAUGUUGGGUUAAGUCCCGCAACGAGCGCAACCCUCGUCGCAUGUUGCCAGCACGUUAUGGUGGGGACUCAUGUGAGACUGCCGGGGUCAACUCGGAGGAAGGUGGGGAUGACGUCAAAUCAUCAUGCCCCUUAUGUCUUGGGCUUCACGCAUGCUACAAUGGCCGGUACAAGGGCUGCGAUGUCGUAAGGCGGAGCGAAUCCCGAAAAGCCGGUCUCAGUUCGGAUUGAGGUCUGC
This 534-nucleotide ribosomal RNA is filed under the name uncultured bacterium. RNAcentral's name for it is "bacterial SSU rRNA". It matches the Rfam family "Bacterial small subunit ribosomal RNA", at positions 777 to 1308 of the family's 1533-position model. The record is from RNAcentral.